GCACAGGGGCCUAGCGGUUUGAGCGCCAUGCUCCAGACCUGGGGGUCACAGGUUUGAUUCCUGGAGGAGCA
Molecule: non-coding RNA, 71 nt
Organism: Albula glossodonta (roundjaw bonefish)
Lineage: Eukaryota; Metazoa; Chordata; Actinopteri; Albuliformes; Albulidae
Source: the annotation of a GenBank genome assembly